This 776-nucleotide ribosomal RNA is filed under the name Halomonas sp. BSTJ-3. RNAcentral describes it as "bacterial SSU rRNA". It matches the Rfam family "Bacterial small subunit ribosomal RNA", at positions 356 to 1128 of the family's 1533-position model. Lineage: Bacteria; Pseudomonadati; Pseudomonadota; Gammaproteobacteria; Oceanospirillales; Halomonadaceae. The record is from RNAcentral.
GUGGGAUAUGGGAUGGGGGGACCCUGAUCCAGCCAUGCCGCGUGUGUGAAGAAGGCCCUCGGGUUGUAAAGCACUUUCAGCGAGGAAGAACGCCUAGUGGUUAAUACCCAUUAGGAAAGACAUCACUCGCAGAAGAAGCACCGGCUAACUCCGUGCCAGCAGCCGCGGUAAUACGGAGGGUGCAAGCGUUAAUCGGAAUUACUGGGCGUAAAGCGCGCGUAGGUGGCUUGAUAAGCCGGUUGUGAAAGCCCCGGGCUCAACCUGGGAACGGCAUCCGGAACUGUCAGGCUAGAGUGCAGGAGAGGAAGGUAGAAUUCCCGGUGUAGCGGUGAAAUGCGUAGAGAUCGGGAGGAAUACCAGUGGCGAAGGCGGCCUUCUGGACUGACACUGACACUGAGGUGCGAAAGCGUGGGUAGCAAACAGGAUUAGAUACCCUGGUAGUCCACGCCGUAAACGAUGUCGACCAGCCGUUGGGUGCCUAGAGCACUUUGUGGCGAAGUUAGCGCGAUAAGUCGACCGCCUGGGGAGUACGGCCGCAAGGUUAAAACUCAAAUGAAUUGACGGGGGCCCGCACAAGCGGUGGAGCAUGUGGUUUAAUUCGAUGCAACGCGAAGAACCUUACCUACCCUUGACAUCUACAGAAGCCGGAAGAGAUUCUGGUGUGCCUUCGGGAACUGUAAGACAGGUGCUGCAUGGCUGUCGUCAGCUCGUGUUGUGAAGUGUUGGGUUAAGUCCCGUAACGAGCGCAACCCUUGUCCUUAUUUGCCAGCGAGUUA